GCUGCCUAGCUAGCCCAAUAUGAUUAGGCCAAUACUACAACAAAGAAUAACCUAACAAAACCCACAAUAUCUUAAAUAAAGCAUUUUUCCACCCAAGUAUGGGAGACAGAAAAG
Molecule: ribosomal RNA, 114 nt
Filed under: Polyipnus matsubarai
Lineage: Eukaryota; Metazoa; Chordata; Actinopteri; Stomiiformes; Sternoptychidae
Description: partial 16S ribosomal RNA
Source: RNAcentral